AUUGAACGCUGGCGGCAUGCUUUACACAUGCAAGUCGAGCGGCAGCGCGGGGGCAACCCUGGCGGCGAGCGGCGAACGGGUGAGCAAUGCAUCGGAACGUACCCUGGAGUGGGGGAUAACGCCGCGAAAGCGGCGCUAAUACCGCAUAUGCUCUGAGGAGGAAAGUGGGGGACCGCAAGGCCUCACGCUCUGGGAGCGGCCGAUGUCCGAUUAGCUAGUUGGUGGGGUAAAGGCUUACCAAGGCGACGAUCGGUAGCUGGUCUGAGAGGAUGAUCAGCCACACUGGGACUGAGACACGGCCCAGACUCCUACGGGAGGCAGCAGUGGGGAAUUUUGGACAAUGGGGGCAACCCUGAUCCAGCCAUGCCGCGUGAGUGAAGAAGGCCU
Molecule: ribosomal RNA, 387 nt
Filed under: uncultured bacterium
Lineage: Bacteria
Description: bacterial SSU rRNA
Rfam family: Bacterial small subunit ribosomal RNA
Source: RNAcentral